GAGGAAAGUCCGGGCUCCACAGGGCAGGGUGCCAGAUAACGUCUGGGAGGUGAAAGCCUACGACCAGUGCAACAGAGAGCAAACCGCCGAUGGCUCAGUUUUGUAAGAAACUGAGAUCAGGUAAGGGUGAAAGGGUGCGGUAAGAGCGCACCGCGCGGCUGGUAACAGUCCGUGGCACGGUAAACUCCACCCGGAGCAAGACCAAAUAGAGGUUCACAUGGUACGGCCCGUAUCGAACCCGGGUAGGUUGCUUGAGCCAGCGCGUAAGUUCUGGCCUAGAUGAAUGAUUGUCCACGACAGAACCCGGCUUA
Molecule: RNase P RNA, 311 nt
Filed under: Xenorhabdus cabanillasii JM26
Lineage: Bacteria; Pseudomonadati; Pseudomonadota; Gammaproteobacteria; Enterobacterales; Morganellaceae
Description: RNaseP_bact_a
Rfam family: Bacterial RNase P class A
About the family: Ribonuclease P (RNase P) is a ubiquitous endoribonuclease, found in archaea, bacteria and eukarya as well as chloroplasts and mitochondria. Its best characterised activity is the generation of mature 5'-ends of tRNAs by cleaving the 5'-leader elements of precursor-tRNAs.
Source: RNAcentral